AGGAUCUUUCACAAUGGGGGAAACCCUGAUGGAGCGACGCCGCGUGGGGGAUGAAUGGCUUCGGCCCGUAAACCCCGGUCAUUUGCGAACAAAUUUCAUGACCCAAUACGUCAUGAAUUGAUUGUAGCGAACGAGGAAGGGACCGCUAAGUCUGUGCCAGCAGCCGCGGUAAUACAGAGGUCCCAAGCGUUGUUCGGAUUCACUGGGCGUAAAGGGUGCGUAGGUGGCCGGGUAAGUCUGGUGUGAAAUCUCCGAGCUCAACUCGGAAACUGCAUUGGAAACUAUUCGGCUAGAGGAUUGGAGGGGAGACUGGAAUUCUCGGUGUAGCAGUGAAAUGCGUAGAUAUCGAGAGGAACACUAGUGGCGAAGGCGAGUCUCUGGACAAUUCCUGACACUGAGGCACGAAAGCUGGGGGAGCAAA
Molecule: ribosomal RNA, 421 nt
Filed under: uncultured bacterium
Lineage: Bacteria
Description: bacterial SSU rRNA
Rfam family: Bacterial small subunit ribosomal RNA
Source: RNAcentral